AACCAACAAUGGAAUAUUGCAACCCAACAUGGUGCUGAAAGCUCAUUGAGGGUUUAGACCAAAUACUUGAGGAAUUCAGGGAAAAAAAAAAAAAAAGAAUACUGUUGACUACUCUUAGCCAAAUACAACUUAAUGGAGGGGUAGGAACUAGACCACAGUCUUGAAGAAAGUGUCAAGCUAGGGUAGUGGUGGGAGGACUUGAGCUGAAGGGGUGUGUUUUCACAAGUCCUGCAAUUUUCUUUUAAAAGGAAGCAAAGGAAAUUAAACACCAAAGAAAACUCUCAGAAGUAUAAGAAGGAUCAGCAGAGUACAGUUCUGAAAACUAGUCCAGAGGGAAAACUAGUCAGGAAGGAGGGCCAGCACAUUGGUUGUUCUUUUAAUUAUUUGUUCGAAACCUUGCUGAGAGUCAGUGGAUACACAGGAACUUUGAAUCUCUUGGGAUGACAUGUGUCAUUUGGAGGGAUGGUUUAUGUGUGUGUUAUAUGAAACAAAGGUGUGAAAUUUUUAGUCAGAUUUACAAUAUUUCCUGUUCUCUACCUUCCAGGAAUAUAGUAUGAUUGCAUUUCCUGGCUCCUUUGUUUGGCUGGGACCAUUUGACUAGGUGACCUAUGAAUUUGAGUCGAGAAGUGCCACUUUCCAGCCAAAGCAUUUAAUUACCUCUGUGCAGCCCUCCAGGGCUCACUGCCCCCUCUGCCAUGACAUCCAGCAAUGUUCCAGAGAGUGACCACUCAGUGUUUGGGUCCCAGAGAGAGGAAGAUACAGAGCUCCAGCUGACCCUCAGUGGACAUGUGAUGUUCUUUUCCCAUACAGAUUAUUGCAGAAUACUGAAUAGAAUUCCCUGGGUGAUAUGGUAGGUCUUGUUGAUUAUCUAUUUUAUAUAUAGUAGACUUAUAUCACUUAGGAUAAUACCCUCCAGAUCCAUCCAUGUUGUUGCAAACAGCAAGAUUUCAUUUAAAAAAAAAUAUUGAAGUAUAGUUGAUUUAAAAUGUUGUGUUAAUUUCUGGUGUACGGCAAAGUGAUUCAGAGAUAUAUAUGUAUUCUUUCUCAUAUUCUUUUCUAUUAUGUUUAUCAUAGGCUAUUGAAUAUAGUUCCCUGUGCUAAACAGUAGAACCUUAUUUAUCCAUCCUAUAUAUACUAGAAUAUAUACUAUAUACUAAUAUAUAGUAUAUACAUAUAUACAUACAUACACUAGUAUAUACACUAUAUACUAAUCCCAAACUCCCAACCCUUCCCAUCCCCAACCCCUAUAGAAUGUCUUAAUUCAAUUCCAGCUAGAUAGUAGAAGUCCUUUCUGGACACAGUCAGAUUAGUUCAGUAACUGAGACAGGCUUGGGGGUGGAUUGAGUUUACCCAUUAGUUUAGGUUCAAAUGCAUAGAAGAGAAAUGAGACGUGGAAGAUAUAAUUCCUUUGAGGGGUGACUAAAGGAACAUGAUUAAAAAAGUAGAAAACUUGAGUGGUUCCAGAUUUGUGCCAUCUCUCCGAGCCUCUGAUAUAAAUUGUUGUUUGUAACCCAUACUUUGGGCAUACUUCCUGUGCUCCGUGUGUAAGCAUAUAUCUGUGGCUGGCUGGAGGAUGAACAAUGCCUUAGUCGAGGGUAUGAAAGGGGACCUUCAGACAGGAACCACAGUCCCAGAGAUUCAGAUGUGAGGGAAAUUCUGACCAUUUUCUUGCCUGUCCCCCCCAUCCUCUGCCUUCCAUUGGCCAAAAGCAAUUACAGGGCACAGGGCAAGAGAUCCAGGUAAUACCUUCUUCAGGAGUCAGCCCCUCCAGAGAUACAGAGACCAGAAGGAAACAGAAGGGACAAGGAGGAGUGGAGACUAACCGGUGUCUGUGUCUUACAGAUUAUAAUUAAUCCCGAUCAGGUGCUCAGUAAUGUCUGCCCUAGAGUUAGUCCCAUCUUGUAGAGUGUUAAUGCUCUCUGCCUAAAGAGAAAACCUUUGUUUCUUUUGAGAACCGAGAACAAAUAAAAGGAGUAGUAUCUUCUUAGUAAAUGAUGUUGGGGAAAUCAGAUGUCCAUGUGCAAAAGAAUGAAGCUGGGACUUUGCCUCACGCCAUGUGUAAAAAUUAACUCCAAAUGUAUCAAAGACCAAACCAUAAAAGCUACAACUAUAAAACUCUUACAAGAAAACAUAAGACAAAAGUUUCAUUCAUGACAUUGGAUUUGGCCAUGUCAUAGCGAUUUCAUGUCAUGACAUAGUGACUUCGCAGAUAUGACACCAAAAACACAGGUAACAAAAGUAAAAAUUGAUAAAUUGGACUAAAUUAAAGUAAACUCUACAUCAAAGGAUAUAAUCAACAGAGUGAAAGUAUAGCCCUUAAAAUAGGAGAAAAUAUUGCAAAUCAUAUAUCUGAUGAAAGAUGAGUCUCCAGAAUCUAUGAAGAACUCCUACACCUCAACAACAGAAAAAAAAAGCAAGCAGAUUUAAAAUGGGUAAAGGAUUUGAAUAAAUAUUUGUUUCAAGAAGAUACACAAAUGACCAAUAAUCACAUGAAAAGAGACUCCAUAUCACUCAUCAUUAGAGAAAUGCAAACUAAACCCCAAGGAGAUACAACCUCACACCAAUUAGUGUGGCUACUAUAAAACAAAACGAAACCAAAACAAACAAACAAAAAAAAACCUCAGAAAAUAACAAGUGUUGGUGAGGAUGUGGGGAAAUUGGAAACCUUGUGCUUUGCUGGUGGGAAUGUAAAAUGUGAAGUUGCUAUGGGACUUCCCAUUGUGGCUCAGCGGAAAUGAACCUGACUAGGAUCCAUGAAGACGCAGGUUCGAUCCCUGGCCCCGCUCGGUGGUUUAAGGAUCCAACAUUGCCAUGAGCUGUGGUGUAGAUCGCAAUGCAGCUCAGAUUUGAUAUUGAUGUGGCUGUGGUGUAGGCUGGCAGCUACAGCUCCAAUUUUACCGCUAGCCUGGGAACCUCCAUAUGCUGCAGGGUGGCCGUAAAAUGACCAAAAAAAAAAAAAAAAAAAAAAA
RNAcentral lists this long non-coding RNA (2969 nucleotides) under Sus scrofa (pig). RNAcentral describes it as "lncRNA (ENSSSCG00035043030.1)". Lineage: Eukaryota; Metazoa; Chordata; Mammalia; Artiodactyla; Suidae. The record is from RNAcentral.